Gadus macrocephalus (Pacific cod) is the source of this 916-nucleotide long non-coding RNA. RefSeq lists it as uncharacterized. The transcript is spliced from 2 exons. The record is from RefSeq and is a predicted model, not a curated record. NCBI's taxonomy places the organism in Eukaryota, Metazoa, Chordata, Actinopteri, Gadiformes, Gadidae.
GAGUUAUUGUUAGUGGAGUUUUUUUGUGUUAUUUUGUUUAUGCAUUUUUUUUGCCUCCUGAUGGGCAUAUAAACCUGCGGCUACGGAGAAUAAAACAGGUAAACUGCCUUUGCCCAAACCUCUGUCACACUGCCUCCAGUCCUUCCACCACCGCAAGGCUAGCCAGGCAACAGGGCCCCACACUAAUAGUUAUAUAUUUAUAAUAUAUUAAUUAAGCUUAACCAACUUCAUUGUAAGGGUCCUAUGAGGAGUGGUUCAUAUUGGGAUAGGCAGAAGCACAGUAACAACAAUAACAAUCAUUUAAAUAAUAAUGUCAUUAACUUUUAUAUUAACAUAUAGUUUGUAAAUGAACAUUUAACAUUUAAAUUAUGUAAGAUAUAACUGUUUAUUAGUGCAAAAAUACAUUUAGUCAACUAUUAAAGGUUGGGUAUGGAAUUCGCUUUUUUGGCAAUUUUUGCAAAAUUACUUGAAAUCCUUAUCAUAACCCACUUACAGCCACUGAGUUAGAAGUACUGACAUGAAAAUUAAACAAGUCAAUCAUCUGUGGAACGGGCAGGGCUCGAAAAACUCCAGCCAAUGAUUUCCAGAGCCACCGAGUUGCAUUGGACAGUAAGUACGUCAAUCAAACGGUCGUACUGCACUCCCCCUCCCCCGCGCGACCCCUUCGUGCACGUACUCAAAGCUCGUGACCCAGAGCAAGCUUCUGUUGGUUGUUAUCCUGCGGUAGCUACUGGAGCUAGCUAACUAGCUAAUGGCUCGCUCUCGCGCAUCUGUGUUUGCUCGUGCAUGAUUGCGCGUCCAUGUACUUGGAAUGGGUGGAGUCAGAGUCAGCGUUGAAGGAGAGGGGGUAGGACCAUUUGAGUUGUGUAUUUUCAAAAUCUGCUGGCGUUUCGCAAAUCCCAUACCCAACCUUUAA